This 73-nucleotide transfer RNA is filed under the name Saccoglossus kowalevskii. RNAcentral's name for it is "tRNA-Thr". It matches the Rfam family "tRNA". Rfam says of the family: Transfer RNA (tRNA) molecules are approximately 80 nucleotides in length. Their secondary structure includes four short double-helical elements and three loops (D, anti-codon, and T loops). Lineage: Eukaryota; Metazoa; Hemichordata; Enteropneusta; Harrimaniidae. The record is from RNAcentral.
GCCUCCUUAGCUCAGUGGUUAGAGCACUGGUCUUGUAAACCAGGGGUCGUGAGUUCGAAUCUCACAGGGGGCU